Molecule: ribosomal RNA, 374 nt
Filed under: uncultured bacterium
Lineage: Bacteria
Description: bacterial SSU rRNA
Rfam family: Bacterial small subunit ribosomal RNA
Source: RNAcentral
AUACAGAGGGUGCAAGCGUUAAUCGGAAUUACUGGGCGUAAAAGGCGCGUAGACGGAUAAUUAAGCGAGCGCUGAAAGGCACGGGCUUAACCUGUGUUAGGCGAUUGAACUGGUUAUCUAGAGGUCAGGAGAGGGGAGUGGAAUUCUCGAAGUAGCGGUGAAAUGCGUAGGUAUCGGGAGGAACACCAGUGGCGAAGGCGACUCUCUGGCCUGGACCUGACGUUGAGGCGCGACAGCGUGGGGAGCGAACAGGAUUAGAUACCCUGGUAGUCCACGCCGUAAACGAUGAAUACUGGCUGAGUGUGCCGUUGGGCAUGCGUAGCGAAGUCAACGCGUUAAGUAUUCCGCCUGGGGAGUACGGCCGCAAGGCUAAA